CCUACGGGAGGCAGCAGUCGAGAAUCAUUCACAAUGGGGGAAACCCUGAUGGUGCGACGCCGCGUGGGGGAAUGAAGGUCUUCGGAUUGUAAACCCCUGUCAUGUGGGAGCAAAUUAAAAAGAUAGUACCACAAGAGGAAGAGACGGCUAACUCUGUGCCAGCAGCCGCGGUAAUACAGAGGUUUCAAGCGUUGUUCGGAAUCACUGGGCGUAAAGCGUGCGUAGGCUGUUUCGUAAGUCGUGUGUGAAAGGCGCGGGCUCAACCCGCGGAGGGCAGAUGAUACUGGGAGACUAGAGUAAGGGUGGGGGAAGCGGAAUGCGUGGUGUAGCAGUGAAAUGCGUAGAUAUCGAGAGGAACUCUGGGGGCGAAGGCGGGUUCCUGGACAUUAACUGACGCUGAGGCACGAAGGCCAGGGGAGCGAAAGGGAUUAGAUACCCUGGUAGUC
Molecule: ribosomal RNA, 446 nt
Filed under: uncultured bacterium
Lineage: Bacteria
Description: partial 16S ribosomal RNA
Rfam family: Bacterial small subunit ribosomal RNA
Source: RNAcentral